CCUACGGGAGGCAGCAGUGAGGAAUAUUGGUCAAUGGGCUUACGCCUGAACCAGCCAAGUCGCGUGAGGGAAGACUGCCCUAUGGGUUGUAAACCUCUUUUGUCAGGGAGCAACGCCGGCUACGUGUAGCCGGACUGAGAGUACCUGAAGAAAAAGCAUCGGCUAACUCCGUGCCAGCAGCCGCGGUAAUACGGAGGAUCCGAGCGUUAUCCGGAUUUAUUGGGUUUAAAGGGAGCGUAGGUGGAUUGUUAAGUCAGUUGUGAAAGUUUGCGGCUCAACCGUAAAAUUGCAGUUGAAACUGGCAGUCUUGAGUACAGUAGAGGUGGGCGGAAUUCGUGGUGUAGCGGUGAAAUGCUUAGAUAUCACGAAGAACUCCGAUUGCGAAGGCAGCUCACUGGACUGCAACUGACACUGAGGCUCGAAAGCGUGGGGAGCAAACAGGAUUAGAUACCCCUGUAGUC
RNAcentral lists this ribosomal RNA (461 nucleotides) under uncultured bacterium. Its description in RNAcentral is "partial 16S ribosomal RNA". It matches the Rfam family "Bacterial small subunit ribosomal RNA", at positions 338 to 795 of the family's 1533-position model. The record is from RNAcentral.